Molecule: ribosomal RNA, 1200 nt
Filed under: Staphylococcus aureus
Lineage: Bacteria; Bacillati; Bacillota; Bacilli; Caryophanales; Staphylococcaceae
Description: bacterial SSU rRNA
Rfam family: Bacterial small subunit ribosomal RNA
Source: RNAcentral
GAGAAGCUUGCUUCUCUGAUGUUAGCGGCGGACGGGUGAGUAACACGUGGAUAACCUACCUAUAAGACUGGGAUAACUUCGGGAAACCGGAGCUAAUACCGGAUAAUAUUUUGAACCGCAUGGUUCAAAAGUGAAAGACGGUCUUGCUGUCACUUAUAGAUGGAUCCGCGCUGCAUUAGCUAGUUGGUAAGGUAACGGCUUACCAAGGCAACGAUGCAUAGCCGACCUGAGAGGGUGAUCGGCCACACUGGAACUGAGACACGGUCCAGACUCCUACGGGAGGCAGCAGUAGGGAAUCUUCCGCAAUGGGCGAAAGCCUGACGGAGCAACGCCGCGUGAGUGAUGAAGGUCUUCGGAUCGUAAAACUCUGUUAUUAGGGAAGAACAUAUGUGUAAGUAACUGUGCACAUCUUGACGGUACCUAAUCAGAAAGCCACGGCUAACUACGUGCCAGCAGCCGCGGUAAUACGUAGGUGGCAAGCGUUAUCCGGAAUUAUUGGGCGUAAAGCGCGCGUAGGCGGUUUUUUAAGUCUGAUGUGAAAGCCCACGGCUCAACCGUGGAGGGUCAUUGGAAACUGGAAAACUUGAGUGCAGAAGAGGAAAGUGGAAUUCCAUGUGUAGCGGUGAAAUGCGCAGAGAUAUGGAGGAACACCAGUGGCGAAGGCGACUUUCUGGUCUGUAACUGACGCUGAUGUGCGAAAGCGUGGGGAUCAAACAGGAUUAGAUACCCUGGUAGUCCACGCCGUAAACGAUGAGUGCUAAGUGUUAGGGGGUUUCCGCCCCUUAGUGCUGCAGCUAACGCAUUAAGCACUCCGCCUGGGGAGUACGACCGCAAGGUUGAAACUCAAAGGAAUUGACGGGGACCCGCACAAGCGGUGGAGCAUGUGGUUUAAUUCGAAGCAACGCGAAGAACCUUACCAAAUCUUGACAUCCUUUGACAACUCUAGAGAUAGAGCUUUCCCCUUCGGGGGACAAAGUGACAGGUGGUGCAUGGUUGUCGUCAGCUCGUGUCGUGAGAUGUUGGGUUAAGUCCCGCAACGAGCGCAACCCUUAAGCUUAGUUGCCAUCAUUAAGUUGGGCACUCUAAGUUGACUGCCGGUGACAAACCGGAGGAAGGUGGGGAUGACGUCAAAUCAUCAUGCCCCUUAUGAUUUGGGCUACACACGUGCUACAAUGGACAAUACAAAGGGCAGCGAAACCG